RNAcentral lists this small RNA (26 nucleotides) under Bombyx mori (domestic silkworm). RNAcentral describes it as "ovarian small RNA-4331". Lineage: Eukaryota; Metazoa; Arthropoda; Insecta; Lepidoptera; Bombycidae. The record is from RNAcentral.
AAUUUGACGACGCCGACCUCAUAGGG